GGAGGCAGCGUGCAGGGCUGGCGCUCACGCAGGCCGCCAGCACCCUGCGCUCCACCCCACCCUGCUCCCUAAUGAGAAGAGAGGAGCUGAACCCAGACAGCCGCUCCCUGUUGACGCCUUAGGCGUUUCAAAACUAGACUGGCCGGAGCCGAUGGAAUGUCUUGGGCCAUCCAUUUCUCUAAGACUCAAUGAUAUGUCCUAGAAGAUCUUUGGCCAAAUGUCAGACUUAUAUCUUACAGAUCCCAGAGUAGGGAGUAAGUACUACAGCUUCUAAAAUGCUCUCACUCACAUGCUUCAUCAAUGCAAAUGACAGUUCGAAAGACCAAGAGCUUUUGGAUUCUACUUGGACUUCUUUUGAAAGGAGACUUGGGCUCAUCCUGCUGGCCUCUGCCCUCUGCUAACCUCCCAGGACUCCUGACUGGGCCUAUGCUGGAUACCAACCAUACAAGAUGAAUGUCUUGCCAAGCUGGAUGUGGAAGUAUAUUUGGUCCUUUGAAGGUUAAUGAUCAAUCCAGACCACAAAUGGAUGACAGUCAAACA
Molecule: long non-coding RNA, 540 nt
Filed under: Homo sapiens (human)
Lineage: Eukaryota; Metazoa; Chordata; Mammalia; Primates; Hominidae
Description: HSALNT0218391
Source: RNAcentral